UUUUUUUCCUUACACAUCUCGGUUAGAUGAAUCUAUCGAAAAGGUUCUAUUUUCUCUUAUUCGUGAAAUAAAUAGGUUUAACAAGAUUUCGAAAGCCUGGCAAGUGUGUAAUUGAUGAUCUAAUGAGCCUAUAGGAAAACAAGUUAACUCAAGAAUUAAAGACAACAUCUGAUUGAAAAAAAAAAAGUCUAAAGAAGAAAACUGAGUUAUGAGUCAGAGAUUUAACUUAGACGGAUUCAAUGGGAAACUGAGAGAGAAAAAUAAAAAUAUAUCUGUGAGAUUAAAAAAUAAAGAUAUCAAGGAAAGAAACAAUAAAGAUUUUAAAUUGAAAAAAAAAACAGAGUAGAAAUUUAUUGGUACAAAUGAUCUAAGUUUAAGCCAACAACUUCUCUCGAAUAACACGGGUUAAAAUAAUAAAAAUGAACACAAAUUAAAAUAUUAAGGGAAUAAAUACAUGAAGUUAAUUCAUUAA
This is a long non-coding RNA of Centruroides sculpturatus (bark scorpion), 472 nucleotides long. RefSeq lists it as uncharacterized. NCBI's taxonomy places the organism in Eukaryota, Metazoa, Arthropoda, Arachnida, Scorpiones, Buthidae. The record is from RefSeq and is a predicted model, not a curated record. The transcript has 3 exons.